This is a long non-coding RNA of Rosa chinensis, 309 nucleotides long. RefSeq lists it as uncharacterized. NCBI's taxonomy places the organism in Eukaryota, Viridiplantae, Streptophyta, Magnoliopsida, Rosales, Rosaceae. The record is from RefSeq and is a predicted model, not a curated record. The transcript is spliced from 4 exons.
CCAUAUUUUAGUUCCAUGAUUCAAGUUGGGUCUCAACUUUCACAAGAGAUUGUGCAAAGGGAAAUGCAGGACAAUUUUCCUCAGAUAUGAUACAGUAUUUGUUAAGAGUCUAUGAGACAAGGAUGGAACUUUUGAGAGCUGUAAUUGUUGGAGCUGGAGUGGUGCUGGGUGGUAAAAAUUCAGAAGUGCAGCACUGUAGCAUCUCUCAAAUAGUUAGGGUUCUUCACAUAUGGUUUCUUUUAGUGCUAUCUCUGUUAGCUAGGUGUUCUUUUGAAGAUUAUUCAUUACAAAUGUUCAAGUGUAAUGGAG